Molecule: long non-coding RNA, 2102 nt
Organism: Drosophila montana
Lineage: Eukaryota; Metazoa; Arthropoda; Insecta; Diptera; Drosophilidae
Exons: 5
Source: RefSeq, a predicted model, not a curated record
CUCUCCUUUGCUUGCCUUUAUUUAUAGCGUAGACUUUAAAGCAAAAAGUCACACAAAAUUAUACUCGAUUUAAUUUUCCAGUCCAGUUGCCAGCUGCCCUAACGCUCCUGUCCUGCCGCUGCGCCGGCUAGUUGAGGCUCUCUCUCGGGUUCGGUUUUCGGUGUCAAGUUUGACUGCGCCGGCCAUGGGCUCCGGCUUGGGCUUGGGUUCAGACACUGGCUUGGGCUCAGUCUCUGGUUCUGGUUUCACAGUUGACGUUAUGCAUUGAAAUUAAUUAAAUCACAGCAAACUGCGCCGCAGUCGCCUCGCUGUUUGUUUGUUGCCUUUCCCAUUGUUUGCCUAUUGUUUUUGUUGCUGUUGCCAUCUUCCUGUUGUUGUCAACCAAACACCAAAGCACCAGCGCCAGCCGCGUUUGUAGCCUUUUAAUUAGUUGGCAGGACCACGAACACAGAACCAGAAGGCGGACUGAAGUUGCAACUAGUUAUUUCGAAUCGUUGACUUAUUGUCUAUGGAUCGUUUUGCUGCUAGUCGCUCGAGACGGCUCUGAAGUGCCUGUGGUGUGUGCGAUGUGGUUUACAUUCAUGUACUUCAACGUUUGAAAACAUCAUUGGUUGAAACCAAUUUAAAAAAGUCGCUUUAAAUUCGGUAUGUUUGAAAAUUAAUCAAGUCCUGCACUCAUAUAUAUAAGUAUUUGCCGAACGGGCAGAAGGUGCCGGCGACUAAUGUCCAAGUUAACAAAGCAGCCGGCCCAGCCCGAAGGUAAAAUGCUGCGAAGGCAAACAAAAGCCGGAAGCUCUAAUGGAAAUUUGAACAAGAGUGGCGGGCAGAUAAGAUGGGACGGGUUGAAUUGAGUCGAGCUGAGCUGAGCUGAACUGAACUGUUUUGAAUGAGGAGCGUGAAGCUGACAAAUCAGGGGGUGGGCUUGAAGUGUUUCAUGUGUGGGCGUGGCAUGCAAAUGAAAAUGCAUUUAUUUAUAAAGCAAACGACAAAAGUCCCAAGUGCCAGGCAUUGCCAUAAACGUGAGAAAACCAACUCCGUGUCGAGCAACAGGAUGUGUCUGCCUCUCUGUAUCUGUCUCUGAAUGUAUCUUUAUCCGUAUCGCUACAUGGCAGCCAUGGAGCGAAAUGCAAAACUGCACUUGUCUGCUGUGUGCUGCCUAACUACCUAUUGGCUGUGCACACUCGGAUACCCAUCCGCAUGUCGCCUGCCCACGCCCGAACCACUUGGAUCUGUUGGCAAUUUUAUUGACAAGCAUUUGUGAGGGCGACGUUCCAGCUGGUGGGUAUGGCAUUCGCUAACCCUUUUUGCUCUGGAAUGCCACCGGGGCUGAGGGGCAGCAUGUUGGACCUGGUUCGCACUGCCAGCUCUCAACCCUCAUGCACGACAAUCCCCGAGCCCAACCCGAAAACGCACUCAUUACAAAUGCCAAGCGCAUGCUUAACAGCUGACGCACUACAGGGGAAUUAUCUGAGGAUUGGGUCUGGGGACGGGGACGGUGAGCACAAAAGUGAGUAGCAAAAUCGCAUUAUAAAGGUUUUAAGGGGCGAACCCCUUGAAAAUUGCGCAAAAUAUGCGAACUAGACUGGGAUGUUGAUGUGCGCUUACCCCCUCUUACCGGUACGGGCUGCCGCAGCCUGCCGAUUAAAUUUGAAAACUUGCCAAAAGGCAGAGAAGGACAACAACGAAGGAUAUUUUGCAAACAAAUAAUAAAAAUCCAAUUUUACAUUUAAUCACGCGCUCAGUCAAACAAAAGAAGAAAAAAAAAUGAAUAAAAGAGCAGAAAUAAACUUUCCAGGCAACGCCUGCUGUCGCACAGAACACGCUGGCAUCUCUUCGGGUCCAACCCCCGUACCAGCAGCCAUCAAGUUGGAACGCGGCUCAAGGAUCAAGACUCAAGGCUCAAGCUCUCGUUGAAAAUUAGGCUGCUUAUUGUGGACCGCCCUCUUGCUUGCCACCCCUCCGCCCUCCGCCGUCCUCCACUCUUCCUUGCAAGAACCUUGCAUACGGCACACUGAAAAAAAUGUCAUUAUAAGUUUCAAAAGCGUGUUAAAUGUGCCAGCCAAAAGGGGUUUAGACCUGCACCGUGUCUCAACCCCGGUCGC